Molecule: ribosomal RNA, 303 nt
Filed under: uncultured bacterium
Lineage: Bacteria
Description: partial 16S ribosomal RNA
Rfam family: Bacterial small subunit ribosomal RNA
Source: RNAcentral
AGCAGCAGCCACGGUAAUACAGAGGGUGCAAGCGUUAAUCGGAAUUACUGGGCGUAAAGCGCGCGUAGGUGGUUUGUUAAGUUGGAUGUGAAAGCCCCGGGCUCAACCUGGGAACUGCAUCCAAAACUGGCAAGCUAGAGUACGGUAGAGGGUGGUGGAAUUUCCUGUGUAGCGGUGAAAUGCGUAGAUAUAGGAAGGAACACCAGUGGCGAAGGCGACCACCUGGACUGAUACUGACACUGAGGUGCGAAAGCGUGGGGAGCAAACAGGAUUAGAUACCCGAGUAGUCCCUGUCUCUUAUAA